Molecule: ribosomal RNA, 445 nt
Filed under: uncultured Rickettsiales bacterium
Lineage: Bacteria; Pseudomonadati; Pseudomonadota; Alphaproteobacteria; Rickettsiales
Description: bacterial SSU rRNA
Rfam family: Bacterial small subunit ribosomal RNA
Source: RNAcentral
GUUCCUACGGGGGGCUGCAGUGGGGAAUCUUAGACAAUGGGGGAAACCCUGAUCUAGCCAUGCCGCGUGAGUGAAGAAGGCCUUAGGGUUGUAAAGCUCUUUCACCUGUGAGGAUGAUGACAGUAGCAGGAGAAGAAGCACCGGCUAACUCCGUGCCAGCAGCCGCGGUAAUACGGAGGGUGCUAGCGUUGUUCGGAAUGACUGGGCGUAAAGGGCGCGUAGGCGGUUAUGUUAGUUAGAUGUGAAAUCCCAGGGCUUAACCUUGGAAUUGCAUUUAAUACUGCAUGACUUGAGAUCGGAAGAGGAAAGCGGAAUUCCUAGUGUAGAGGUGAAAUUCGUAGAUAUUAGGAGGAACAUCAGAGGCGAAGGCGGCUUUCUGGUCCGCAUCUGACGCUGAGGCGCGAAAGCGUGGGGAGCAAACAGGAUUAGAUACCCCGGUAGUCCA